RNAcentral lists this ribosomal RNA (245 nucleotides) under uncultured bacterium. RNAcentral describes it as "partial 16S ribosomal RNA". It matches the Rfam family "Bacterial small subunit ribosomal RNA", at positions 9 to 235 of the family's 1533-position model. The record is from RNAcentral.
GAGUUUGAUCGUGGCUCAGGAUGAACGCUGGCGGCGUGCUUAACACAUGCAAGUCGAACGAAGCACUUUGGACAGAUUCUUCGGAUGAAGUCCUUAGUGACUGAGUGGCGGACGGGUGAGUAACGCGUGGGUAACCUGCCUCAUACAGGGGGAUAACAGUUAGAAAUGGCUGCUAAUACCGCAUAAGCGCACGGUACUGCAUGGUACAGUGUAGAAAAACUCCGGUGGUAUGAGAUGGACCCGCG